Molecule: ribosomal RNA, 447 nt
Filed under: uncultured bacterium
Lineage: Bacteria
Description: bacterial SSU rRNA
Rfam family: Bacterial small subunit ribosomal RNA
Source: RNAcentral
UGGGGAAUAUUGGACAAUGGGCGCAAGCCUGAUCCAGCCAUGCCGCGUGAACGAUGAAGGCCUUAGGGUUGUAAAGUUCUUUUGUCAGGGAAGAUAAUGACGGUACCUGAAGAAUAAGCACCGGCUAACUUCGUGCCAGCAGCCGCGGUAAUACGAAGGGUGCUAGCGUUGUUCGGAAUUACUGGGCGUAAAGCGUGCGCAGGCGGUUUGGUAAGACAGAUGUGAAAUCCCCGGGCUUAACCUGGGAACUGCAUUUGUGACUGCCAGACUAGAGUGUAGCAGAGGGGGGUAGAAUUCCACGUGUAGCAGUGAAAUGCGUAGAUAUGUGGAGGAAUACCGAUGGCGAAGGCAGCCCCCUGGGCUAACACUGACGCUCAUGCACGAAAGCGUGGGGAGCAAACAGGAUUAGAUACCCCCGUAGUCCCUGAGCGGGCUGGCAAGGCGCAU